GAUGAACGCUGGCGGCGUGCCUAAUACAUGCAACUCCAGCGAACGGACGAGAAGCUUGCUUCUCUGAUGUUAGCGGCGGACGGGUGAGUAACACGUGGAUAACCUACCUAUAAGACUGGGAUAACUUCGGGAAACCGGAGCUAAUACCGGAUAAUAUUUUGAACCGCAUGGUUCAAAAGUGAAAGACGGUCUUGCUGUCACUUAUAGAUGUAUCCGCGCUGCAUUAGCUAGUUGGUAAGGUAGCGGCUUACCAAGGCAACGAUGCAUAGCCGACCUGAGAGGGUGAUCGGCCACACUGGAACUGAGACACGAUCCAGAGUCCUACGGGAGGCAGCAGUAGGGAAUCUUCCGCAAUGGGCGAAAGCCUGACGGAGCAACGCCGCGUGAGUGAUGAAGGUCUUCGGAUCGUAAAACUCUGUUAUUAGGGAAGAACAUAUGUGUAAGUAACUGUGCACAUCUUGACGGUACCUAAUCAGAAAGCCACGGCUAACUACGUG
RNAcentral lists this ribosomal RNA (497 nucleotides) under uncultured bacterium. Its description in RNAcentral is "partial 16S ribosomal RNA". It matches the Rfam family "Bacterial small subunit ribosomal RNA", at positions 28 to 507 of the family's 1533-position model. The record is from RNAcentral.